UUCGCCCGUUGCAUAAUUAAAGUGGGACGGUCAAUUAUAAAAUCACCCGAGUUUCCACUCCAUUUUUCCACGCCAAGUUCACCGGGUCUCGCCCACGCCAAUUCACUUAUUCGCAAUCGAUGAGUGUGCAUCACGCUCGCGCCUAGAUAAAUUAAUCGUCGUACGAAUUACGAAUGAUGCAAUCCGCAAUUAUUUCUCGGAAUCCGUCGCCGUUCUUAUCCCCGAGCCAAAACGACGCGGAAUACAACUCCCACUCUUUUAUCCUUUAUAAUUAACGCAACGAGUCGAAUCACCGUUAAUAUAUUCAAACCUCUCUCUCUUUCUCUCUCUUUUUCUCUAUCUAUUCCUUUCGAAGAAAAAGUAGGGACGAAGUACUCUCAUCUUCAUUCGCGAUAAUGUAUCGUUUCGAUCUAUACAAUUUUUACUUCCACGAAUUCCUUAAAACUCUCACUGAUAAUUUUAUCGUUUUAUUGGACGAAUAUACGUAUAUGUACACGUGUGUAUAUAUACUCCGUGUGGUUCGUCGUCAUUUUACAACGCGAUUCGCACGAUUCUUCGAAUCAAGUUCGAGUCGAUAUGGACCGAUGCGAUCGAUGCGGGAAAAGAAAUUUGCGAGGAACGGGCACGUUAUAACCUUCCAUCUUGGUGCACCAAGUCUCUGUACCUUUGGCCGCCACGGCGGUGACCUGGUUCGUAUAAGAACUCGGCAUUAUGCUUCUUCUGAACGAACUCGAACCGUUCUCUGAAUGACCUCCAAGUACGGAACAUAAAUAAUAUACAGUGUUUCGAAGUUAUUUAAUUUUUCGUUACGAUUCCAUCAUCGGAGCGAAAUGAUCAAUGAAUAAGUUAACAAGAUGAUUCAGAAGAUUAAAGGAAAAAGAAGAAAUUCGGAAGAAUUCGUCGCAUCGACAAAGGCAAAAAUAGACGAAAUCAACCGCUUCCUUGGUAAUGUCCUUUCAGACAUGUAAAUCUAUUCGAGCCGUGCAACAACUGUACAGAAAUAAAAAUGCUCGAGAAUA
Long non-coding RNA from Apis cerana (Asiatic honeybee), 1019 nucleotides. RefSeq lists it as uncharacterized. The record is from RefSeq and is a predicted model, not a curated record. Lineage: Eukaryota; Metazoa; Arthropoda; Insecta; Hymenoptera; Apidae.